This is a ribosomal RNA of 2552 nucleotides. The stretch from base 242 to 2426 matches the Rfam family "Bacterial large subunit ribosomal RNA".
AUUAAUUUAUAAUAAAAGAGAAUUGACUGAGCGGUUUAAAGUGGUAAGCUUGAAACUUAUUUGAUCUAUCAGAUCACAUCCGUUCGAAUCGGAUAUUCUCUGAAUAAAUAAACAGGUUAGAGCCAGGUGGUUAGGCGUCUCAAUUGGGAUGAGGAAUUGUUAUGUUCGAAUCAUAAUAACCUGAUGAAAAUAUAACUAAUUACAUAUGUAAGAUAUUAUUUUUGAUAAAAACUAGUAUCAAACUAAGUAUAUAAAGAGACUAUUACGGAUAUCUGGCUAUAUAUUAAAGAUAAAUAUGUUAAAUUAAUAUCUAAUAUAAAUCUAAUAAUAAACAAAGUGAAUUGAAAUAUCUUAAUAACUUUAGGAAAAAAAAUCAAACGAGAUUUUAUUAUUAGUGUAAACUAAUAUAAAAAAGCUUACAAGUAAAAUGGAAAAUAUCUGUUUGAAUACAGGGGAACCUUCCUCUAAAGCUAAAUAUAAUAUAUAAGCGAUAGCGUAUAGUACCGUGAGGUAUAGAUAGAAAUAGUAGUUUUAUAAGCAGCUCAAAAAAAAAUUUAAAUAAAUAAUACGAGCGGACCUUUUGCAUAAUGGGUCAGCAAGUUAAAUUUAGAUGCAAGCAAAUAAAAAUUAUUUGCCUAGAUAAACCAAUUAUGAAAAAAUGAUAAGUAUCUAAAUUUAGACCCGAAGGCUAGUGAUCUUACCAUGAUCAGGCUUAAGGCCGAACGGGUUAUCGUUGUAGAGAUAUCCGAUGAAUUGUGGUAAGUUGGUGAAAGACAAAACUGACUAGUAUAGCUGGUUUUCCGCGAAACCUAUGUGAGUAGGUAAUUUAAUUAACAUCUUAGCAGGUACAGAACUAGGAUCUCGGACAAUAUGUAAAUUUUGUGCACAUCGGGGGAUCGUGAUGAUUUUAUCGGAGAGUAUUUGCACUCGAAAGGGCAAAGAUGAAUAUUGAAUAAUCGGACAUAGUACGAUAAGGUUGUAUGUCUAAAGGGAAACAGCCCUGAACAAGAGUUAUAAGGUUCCAAAAUUAUUAUUAAGUGAAAUUAAGGAUGUACUUAUCAAAUACAACCAGGAAAUAGGCUUAGAAGCGGCCAUUUUUUGAAGACCUCGUAACAGAGCACUGGUUAAUAAAAUUUUUUUAGAUAGAUAUGUAUACCGAAAAUUUAACGGAUCUAAAUAAUAUACCGAAACCUUGUUCGUAUAUAUUAAUAUAGAAUAUUAUUUAUUAGUUUAAAUAUAUAUAUAUAUAUAUNNAAAUUAUAUAAUAAUCCAAGAGAGAAUGCUGGCAUGAGUAACGAAAAAGGAUUAUACAUCCUCGCCUUAAGCUUAUGGUAUUUUAUUUAAAUUUCGGUGUCUAAGUAGGAAGAUAAAAGAAUAAAACUGAAAGUUAAAAAAAACUUCUCCUAAUGGAUUUUUACGAUGAUAUAUUGAUUAGAUAAAAAAACCUUUAUAAAGUGUUAAAGGUUCUGGAAAUUAAAUCUAAUGAAAAACAUAAUAGACCGUACCUAAAUACUAACACAAGUAAGCAAGUAGAGUAUACAAAGGCGUUUGAGCGAACAAUCCUUAAGGAACUCGGCAAAUUGACUCCGUAACUUCGGGAUAAGGAGGGCCGUUAUUAUAGAAAAAUUUUUUUUUCUGUUAAAUAAGAGGAAACAUNNNNNNNNNNNNNNNNNNNNNNNNNNNNNNNNNNNNNNNNNNNNAAUGCGGUCUUGCAUGAAUGACUUAACGAUACAACAGCUGUCUCGAGGAUUGGCUCAGUGAAAUUGGAAUAGCAGUGCAGAUACUGCUUAACUCUAGGUAGACGAGAAGACCCUAUGCAGCUUUACUGUUACCUUUUAUGAAUAUAGUAAGUCAAUUGUGAGUGUAUAAGGUAAUUGUUAUAUGAAAUUGAAACACCUUUAUUUAAACUAUUAUAUUCUUUAUGACUGGAAGACAGUUUAUGCGGGGCACAGAUCCCAUAAAAAGUACCUGGGUAUAUCCAAAGUUAAUAAUGUAAGUUUGUAAAUUUUAAUUUACAGUAAUAAUAUAUUUAUAUUUAUAAAUUAUUAUUAUUUAGUUUGUUAUUAAUUAUAUUUUAUAUUUAUUCAGUUAUUAUAGUAUUAAAUUCGAAUUUUAUAGAAUUUAAGUAAGAUUUUAACUAUAUGGUAAAUAGAUGUAUAUUAAAUAUUAAUAAAUUAAGUUCUAUUAGUAUUUUAUUCAUAUUAAUAUUGUAUAUAUAAAUCCUUAUUAAUAUGAUAAUUAUUUAUACUUUAAAAGUUUAAUGGCUAAAUCUUGCUUUACUGUUUGACUUACAAGUCUAUCAGUCGCGUAAGCGGGGCAUAUGAUCACAAGAUGCAAAAAGGAAAGGUCUUGGAUUAAAGAAAAAGUUACGCUAGGGAUUUUUGUUAGUCCCCCUGUAUUUUAAAAUACAGGUAAUAAUUUGGGUAAAUUUCAAAAAUAACUUAUAUUUAAGUGUAUUUGAAGCGAAACUUAUUUUAGCAUAUUUAUAUUUAUAUAAAUUAAAUAAGAACGUUCAACGACUAAAAGGUGAAUAGUGCUAUUAAUAAUCCUUU